RNAcentral lists this ribosomal RNA (448 nucleotides) under uncultured Arcobacter sp. RNAcentral's name for it is "bacterial SSU rRNA". It matches the Rfam family "Bacterial small subunit ribosomal RNA", at positions 936 to 1382 of the family's 1533-position model. The record is from RNAcentral. Lineage: Bacteria; Pseudomonadati; Campylobacterota; Epsilonproteobacteria; Campylobacterales; Arcobacteraceae.
AGCAUGUGGUUUAAUUCGACGAUACGCGAAGAACCUUACCUGGCCUUGACAUACUAAAAAGCUUUAAGAGAUUAGAGUGUGCUAGCUUGCUAGAAUUUAGAUACAGGUGCUGCACGGCUGUCGUCAGCUCGUGUCGUGAGAUGUUGGGUUAAGUCCCGCAACGAGCGCAACCUCGUGUUUAGUUGCUAACAGUUCGGCUGAGAACUCUAAACAGACUGCCUACGCAAGUAGGAGGAAGGUGAGGACGACGUCAAGUCAUCAUGGCCCUUACGGCCAGGGCUACACACGUGCUACAAUGGGGUAUACAAAGAGCAGCGAUACGGUGACGUGGAGCAAAUCUAGAAAAUGCCUCUCAGUUCGGAUUGUAGUCUGCAACUCGACUACAUGAAGUUGGAAUCGCUAGUAAUCGUAGAUCAGCAAUGCUACGGUGAAUACGUUCCCGGGUCUU